This 866-nucleotide ribosomal RNA is filed under the name uncultured archaeon. Its description in RNAcentral is "bacterial SSU rRNA". It matches the Rfam family "Archaeal small subunit ribosomal RNA", at positions 4 to 878 of the family's 1478-position model. The record is from RNAcentral.
CCGGUUGAUCCCGCGGACCCGACUGCUAUCAGAGUGGGACUAAGCCAUGCGAGUCAACAUAGCAAUAUGUGGCAUACGGCUCAGUAACACGUAGUCAACAUGCCCAGGGGACGUGGAUAACCUCGGGAAACUGAGAAUAAACCACGAUAGAUCAUAGUGCCUGGAAUGGCUUAUGGUCCAAACAGUUUACUGCCAUGGGAUGGGACUGCGGCCUAUCAGCUUGUUGGUGAGGUAAUGGCCCACCAAGGCGAUUACAGGUACGGGCUCUGAGAGGAGUAGCCCGGAGAUGGGUACUGAGACACGGACCCAGGCCCUAUGGGGCGCAGCAGGCGAGAAACCUUAGCAAUGUGCGAAAGCACGACUGGGUCAGUCCGAGUGAUUCCUGAUAAAGGAGUCUUUUGCCUGUCCUAAAAGCACAGGUGAAUAAGGGGUGGGCAAGUCUGGUGUCAGCCGCCGCGGUAAUACCAGCACCUCGAGUGGUCAGGACGUUUAUUGGGCCUAAAGCAUCCGUAGCCGGCUCUGCAAGUCUUCGGUUAAAUCCACCUGCUCAACAGAUGGGCCGCUGGAGAUACUACAGAGCUAGGGAGUGGGAGAGGCAGACGGUAUUCAGUGGGUAGGGGUAAAAUCCUCUGAUCCAUUGAGGACCACCAGUGGCGAAGGCGGUCUGCCAGAACACGUUCGACGGUGAGGGAUGAAAGCUGGGGGAGCAAACCGGGUUAGAUACCCGGGUAGUCCCAGCUGUAAACGAUGCAAACUCGGUGAUGCAUUGGCUUAUGGCCAAUGCAGUGCCGCAGGGAAGCCGUUAAGUUUGCCGCCUGGGAAGUACGGACGCAAGUCUGAAACUUAAAGGAAUUGGCGGGGGAGCA